AAAGAAAUUAGCUCAAUAGGUAGAGUAUCCGUUUUAUACGCGGAGGGUGUGGUGUUCGAAUCACUUGUUUUUUUU
RNAcentral lists this transfer RNA (75 nucleotides) under Neocucurbitaria cava. RNAcentral describes it as "tRNA-Ile". It matches the Rfam family "tRNA". Rfam says of the family: Transfer RNA (tRNA) molecules are approximately 80 nucleotides in length. Their secondary structure includes four short double-helical elements and three loops (D, anti-codon, and T loops). Further hydrogen bonds mediate the characteristic L-shaped molecular structure. tRNAs have two regions of fundamental functional importance: the anti-codon, which is responsible for specific mRNA codon recognition, and the 3' end, to which the tRNAs corresponding amino acid is attached (by aminoacyl-tRNA synthetases). tRNAs cope with the degeneracy of the genetic code in two manners: having more than one tRNA (with a specific anti-codon) for a particular amino acid; and 'wobble' base-pairing, i.e. permitting non-standard base-pairing at the 3rd anti-codon position. Lineage: Eukaryota; Fungi; Ascomycota; Dothideomycetes; Pleosporales; Cucurbitariaceae. The record is from RNAcentral.